UAAAAAAAGCCAGGAAGUUGCUUCAGUGUCCCGGUGCGGUUAGUCACGUUUCGUGCGUGCUCAUUCUGCCAAGAUGCCUGAGGAAACCCAGACCCAAGACCAACCAAUGGAGGAAGAGGAGGUCGAAACCUUUGCCUUUCAGGCAGAAAUUGCCCAGUUAAUGUCCUUGAUCAUCAACACUUUCUACUCGAACAAAGAGAUCUUUCUGAGGGAGCUCAUUUCCAACUCCUCAGAUGCUCUGGAUAAGAUCAGAUACGAGAGCUUGACCGACCCUAGUAAACUGGACUCGGGGAAGGAGCUGCACAUUAAUCUCAUUCCCAACAAGCAAGACCGAACCCUCACUAUUGUGGAUACUGGCAUUGGAAUGACCAAGGCUGACUUGAUCAAUUACCUUGGCACUAUUGCCAAGUCAGGCACCAAAGCCUUCAUGGAGGCUUUGCAGGCUGGUGCAGAUAUCUCUAUGAUUGGCCAGUUUGGUGUUGGUUUUUACUCUGCAUAUUUGGUUGCUGAGAAAGUGACUGUCAUCACCAAGCAUAAUGAUGACGAGCAGUACGCCUGGGAGUCCUCAGCUGGAGGAUCCUUCACUGUGAGGACAGACACAGGUGAACCAAUGGGUCGUGGAACAAAGGUUAUCUUGUAUCUAAAAGAAGAACAAACUGAGUAUUUGGAGGAAAGGAGAAUAAAAGAAAUUGUGAAGAAACAUUCUCAGUUUAUUGGCUACCCCAUUACUCUCUUUGUGGAGAAGGAAUGUCAGUGAUGAUGAGGCUGAAGAAAAGGAAGAGAAAGAGGAAGAGAAAGAAAAAGAAGAAAAGGAGUCUGAUGACAAGCCUGAAAUAGAAGAUGUUGGUUCUGAUGAAGAAGAAGAAGAGAAGAAGGAUGGUGACAAGAAGGAAAAGAAGAAGAUAAAGGAAAAGUACAUUGAUCAAGAAGAACUCAACAAAACAAAGCCGAUCUGGACCAGAAAUCCUGAUGACAUUACGAAUGAAGAAUAUGGAGAGUUCUACAAGAGCUUAACCAACGACUGGAAAGAACAUUUGGCAGUAAAGCAUUUUUCUGUUGAAGGACAAUUAGAAUUCCGGGCUCUUCUUUUUGUCCCAAGACGCGCUCCUUUUGAUCUAUUUGAAAACAGAAAGAAAAAGAACAACAUCAAGUUGUAUGUUCAAAGAGUUUUUAUCAUGGAUAAUUGUGAGGAGUUAAUCCCCGAGUAUCUGAAUUUCAUCAGAGGGGUGGUGGAUUCUGAGGAUCUCCCUCUAAAUAUUUCCCAUGAAAUGCUGCAACAAAGCAAAAUUCUGAAAGUUAUCAGGAAGAAUUUGGUCAAGAAAUGCCUAGAACUAUUUACUGAACUGGCUGAAGAUAAAGAGAACUACAAAAAGUUUUAUGAGCAGUUCUCAAAAAAUAUAAAGCUUGGAAUUCAUGAAGACUCUCAAAAUCGGAAGAAGCUUUCAGAGCUGUUGAGAUACUACACAUCUGCUUUUGGGGAUGAGAUGGUUUCUCUGAAGGACUACUGCACCAGAAUGAAGGAAAACCAGAAGCACAUCUAUUUUAUCACAGGUGAGACCAAGGACCAGGUUGCUAACUCAGCCUUUGUGGAACGUCUCUGAAAGCAUGGCUUAGAAGUAAUCUAUAUGAUUGAGCCCAUUGAUGAGUAUUGUGUGCAACAGCUGAAGGAAUUUGAGGGCAAGACCUUGGUGUCAGUUACCAAAGAAGGACUGGAACUUCCAGAAGAUGAAGAGGAAAAGAAGAAACAGGAAGAGAAAAAGACAAAAUUUGAGAACCUCUGCAAAAUUAUGAAAGAUAUUUUAGAGAAAAAGGUUGAAAAGGUGGUUGUGUCAAACCGAUUGGUGACAUCCUCAUGCUGUAUUGUCACAAGCACAUAUGGCUGGACAGCAAACAUGGAGAGAAUCAUGAAAGCUCAAGCCCUCAGAGACAACUCAACAAUGGGUUACAUGGCAGCAAAGAAACACCUGGAGAUAAACCCUGAUCACUCCAUUAUUGAAACCUUAAGGCAAAAGGCAGAGGCUGACAAGAAUGACAAGUCUGUGAAAGAUCUGGUCAUCUUGCUGUACAAAACAGCACUCCUGUCUUCCAGCUUCAGUCUGGAAGAUCCCCAGACCCAUGCUAACAGGAUCUACAGGAUGAUCAAGCUUGGUCUAGGUAUUGAUGAGGAUGAUCCUACUGUGGAUGAUACCAGUGCUGCUGUAACUGAAGAAAUGCCACCCCUGGAAGGAGAUGAUGACAUAUCACGCAUGGAAGAAGUAGACUAGGCUUCACCAGAACUAUGUGUUUGAUGCUUACCUACAUUCCUUCUGAUAAUAUAUUUUCCAUGAUUUUUGUUUAUUUUUGUUAACAUUUAAAACAUCUGUGUGGCAUGAAAACUAGGGGAAGAUAAAAAUUUCUACAUGUGAUACUGUGAUACUAUAGGUUUGACUCAAGAGGUUGAUAGAAUGUUUGUUGUAAGACGUAAUGUAACCUACUGUUACUGUUAACUAUGUGGUCUGAAGUGUUUAGCUGUUGAGCUGGAUUCCUUUAGUAGACCAAAUUAAGAUGACUUAAGUUUCAUCUUAAAUUUUUUUUCAUUCCCUGUAGUUAAUUCUGCAUGUACUAGUCUUAGAAGUAAACACAAACUAAAACAACUUGACAGGAAUUCCCCAAGUGGCUUGUUUUCCAAAGUACUGAGAACAAAACCCUAAGUUCCCAUAGGUCUUGUAACUCAGCAAGGCUUGUGAAUGUGAAAAUAACAGUGCCCAAUCACAUUCUGCUUUAAAAAGGUAAAUACA
This is a non-coding RNA of Rattus norvegicus (Norway rat), 2777 nucleotides long. Lineage: Eukaryota; Metazoa; Chordata; Mammalia; Rodentia; Muridae. The record is from RefSeq and is a predicted model, not a curated record.